AGAGAGGUGUCUGAGUGGUCGAAAGAGCUACCCUGGAAAGGUAGUAUAUGGGUAACUGUAUCGAGGGUUCGAAUCCCUUCCUCUCUGCGA
This 90-nucleotide transfer RNA is filed under the name Polaribacter vadi. RNAcentral describes it as "tRNA-Ser". It matches the Rfam family "tRNA". Rfam says of the family: Transfer RNA (tRNA) molecules are approximately 80 nucleotides in length. Lineage: Bacteria; Pseudomonadati; Bacteroidota; Flavobacteriia; Flavobacteriales; Flavobacteriaceae. RNAcentral also lists the same sequence under 1 other name. The record is from RNAcentral.